UACAGAGGGUGCGAGCGUUAAUCGGAAUUACUGGGCGUAAAGCGUGCGCAGGCGGUUUUGUAAGUCUGUCGUGAAAGCCCCGGGCUCAACCUGGGAAUUGCGAUGGAGACUGCAAGGCUUGAAUCUGGCAGAGGGGGGUAGAAUUCCACGUGUAGCAGUGAAAUGCGUAGAGAUGUGGAGGAACACCGAUGGCGAAGGCAGCCCCCUGGGCCAAUACUGACGCUCAGGCACGAAAGCGUGGGGAGCAAACAGG
Molecule: ribosomal RNA, 253 nt
Filed under: uncultured bacterium
Lineage: Bacteria
Description: partial 16S ribosomal RNA
Rfam family: Bacterial small subunit ribosomal RNA
Source: RNAcentral